Molecule: ribosomal RNA, 430 nt
Filed under: Pseudomonadota bacterium
Lineage: Bacteria; Pseudomonadati; Pseudomonadota
Description: Proteobacteria bacterium partial 16S ribosomal RNA
Rfam family: Bacterial small subunit ribosomal RNA
Source: RNAcentral
UGGGGAAUAUUGGACAAUGGGGGGAACCCUGAUCCAGCCAUGCCGCGUGUGUGAAGAAGGCCUUAUGGUUGUAAAGCACUUUAAGCGAGGAGGAGGGUACUGGUAUUAAUACUACCAGGUACUGGACGUUACUCGCAGAAUAAGCACCGGCUAGCUCUGUGCCAGCAGCCGCGGUAAUACAGAGGGUGCGAGCGUUAAUCGGAUUUACUGGGCGUAAAGCGUGCGUAGGCGGCUAAUUGAGUCGGAUGUGAAAUCCCCGAGCUUAACUUGGGAAUUGCAUUCGAUACUGGUUAGCUAGAGUGUGGGAGAGGAUGGUAGAAUUCCAGGUGUAGCGGUGAAAUGCGUAGAGAUCUGGAGGAAUACCGAUGGCGAAGGCAGCCAUCUGGCCUAACACUGACGCUGAGGUACGAAAGCAUGGGGAGCAAACAGG